Molecule: small RNA, 274 nt
Filed under: Histoplasma ohiense
Lineage: Eukaryota; Fungi; Ascomycota; Eurotiomycetes; Onygenales; Ajellomycetaceae
Description: hypothetical lncRNA
Source: RNAcentral
CUUGACUUUAACCGGAUGGAGGCUUUUCUAACAUGCAUGGAUCCCUUGAAUAGUUAACUAUACGAUGAACCGGAGAGGCGAAAAGACCGAACUCAACUGGGAAAAAUUGUACUGGGAGCUGGAAAGAAUAAUGAAACCAUGAAACCUGAAUGAUUGAAGUCGAGCCCGACUAGGCCAUAGUGGCGUUGAUUGGUGGAUUCCCUCUUCAGCACAAUGAAAGCAAAGACAAGAUUAAAAAAAGCAAAAAAAAGAAAAAAAAAAAAAAAGAAAGAGG